GAUGAACGCUGGCUACAGGCUUAACACAUGCAAGUCGAGGGGAAACGACGGGGAAGCUUGCUUCCCCGGGCGUCGACCGGCUCACGGGUGAGUAACGCGUAUCCAACCUGCCUCUGACUGAGGGAUAACCCGUCGAAAGUCGGCCUAAUACCUCAUGGCAUCGUCUUCGGGCAUCCAACGACGAUUAAAGAUUUCAUCGUUCAGGGAUGGGGCUGCGUCUGAUUAGCUUGUUGGCGUGGUAACGGCCCACCAAGGCUACGAUCAGUAGGGGUUCUGAGAGGAAGGGACCCCACAUGGGAACUGAGACACGGUCCAAACUCCGACGGGAGGCAGCAGUGAGGAAUAUUGGUCAAUGGGCGGGAGCCUGAACCAGCCAAGUAGCGUGCAGGAUGACGGCCCUAUGGGUUGUAAACUGCUUUUAUGCGGGGAUAAAGUGAGGGACGUGUCCUUCAUUGCAGGUACCGCAUGAAUAAGGACCGGCUAAUUCCGUG
RNAcentral lists this ribosomal RNA (491 nucleotides) under uncultured bacterium. Its description in RNAcentral is "partial 16S ribosomal RNA". It matches the Rfam family "Bacterial small subunit ribosomal RNA", at positions 28 to 507 of the family's 1533-position model. The record is from RNAcentral.